This 828-nucleotide ribosomal RNA is filed under the name uncultured bacterium. Its description in RNAcentral is "bacterial SSU rRNA". It matches the Rfam family "Bacterial small subunit ribosomal RNA", at positions 41 to 880 of the family's 1533-position model. The record is from RNAcentral.
GGCGUGCCUAACACAUGCAAGUCGAACGAGAACGGGUUAAAGUUUACUUUAACUGUCAGCUAAGUGGCGCACGGGUGAGUAAUAUAUAGUUAAUCUGCCCCAAAGAAGAGAAUAAUUGUUGGAAACGACUUGUAACUCUCUAUAUGCCUUUAUUACAUAAGUAAGCAAGGGAAACAUUUAUGGCUUUGGGAUGAGACUGUACGGUAUCAGUUUGUUGGUAAGGUAAUGGCUUACCAAGACUAUGACGCCUAACUGGUUUGAGAGGAUGAUCAGUCACACUGGAACUGAGACACGGUCCAGACUCCUACGGGAGGCAGCAGUGGGGAAUAUUGCACAAUGGAGGAAACUCUGAUGCAGCAACGCCGCGUGGAGGAUGACACAUUUCGGUGCGUAAACUCCUUUUAUAUGAGAAGAUAAUGACGGUAUCAUAUGAAUAAGCACCGGCUAACUCCGUGCCAGCAGCCGCGGUAAUACGGGGGGUGCAAGCGUUACUCGGAAUCACUGGGCGUAAAGAGCAUGUAGGCGGAUAGAUAAGUUGGAAGUGAAAUCCUAUGGCUUAACCAUAGAACUGCUUCCAAAACUGUCUAUCUAGAAUAUGGGAGAGGUAGAUGGAAUUUCUGGUGUAGGGGUAAAAUCCGUAGAGAUCAGAAGGAAUACCGAUUGCGAAGGCGAUCUACUGGAACAUUAUUGACGCUCAGAUGCGAAAGCGUGGGGAGCAAACAGGAUUAGAUACCCUGGUAGUCCACGCCCUAAACGAUGCACACUAGUUGUUGCCUUGCUAGACAAGGCAGUAAUGCAGUUAACACAGUAAGUGUGCCGCCUGGGGAG